UACGUAGGGGGCAAGCGUUGUCCGGAAUUAUUGGGCGUAAAGAGCGUGUAGGCGGUCCGGUAAGUCAGCUGUGAAAGUCAAGGGCUCAACCCUUGAAAGCCGGUUAAUACUGUCGGGCUAGAGUCCGGAAGAGGCGAGUGGAAUUCCCGGUGUAGCGGUGAAAUGCGCAGAUAUCGGGAGGAACACCAAUGGCGAAGGCAGCUCGCUGGGACGGUACUGACGCUGAGACGCGAAAGCGUGGGGAGCAAACAGG
Molecule: ribosomal RNA, 253 nt
Filed under: uncultured bacterium
Lineage: Bacteria
Description: partial 16S ribosomal RNA
Rfam family: Bacterial small subunit ribosomal RNA
Source: RNAcentral